This 1213-nucleotide ribosomal RNA is filed under the name uncultured bacterium. RNAcentral describes it as "bacterial SSU rRNA". It matches the Rfam family "Bacterial small subunit ribosomal RNA", at positions 266 to 1502 of the family's 1533-position model. The record is from RNAcentral.
CGUCGAUGGGCUAAGCCGUAUUUCGAGAGAAUGAUCGCACACUGGGAUCGGAAAACGUCCGAAUCUACGGAGGCAGCAGUAGGGAUUUCGGCAUUGGGCGAAAGCUUGACGAGCAAGCCGCGUGAGUGAUGAAGCUUCGAGUUGUUAAGCUCUGUUGUAGAGGAGAAAUGCCAGAUAAGAAAUGAUCUUGGCUUGACGGUACUCUGCCAGAAAGCCACGGCUAACUACGUGCCAGCAGCCGCGGUAAUACGUAGGUUGCAAGCGUUAUCCGGAAUUAUUGGGCGUAAAGGGUGCGUAGGCGGUUACGUGUGUCUAAGGUGAAAUUCCAGGGCUUAAACUCUGGACUGCCUUAGAAACUGCGUGACUAGAGUGCAGGAGAGGGCAACGGAAUUCCAUGUGUAGCGGUAAAAUGCGUAGAUAUAUGGAGGAACACCGGUGGCGAAGGCGGUUGCCUGGCCUGUAACUGACGCUGAGGCACGAAAGCGUGGGGAGCAAAUAGGAUUAGAUACCCUAGUAGUCCACGCUGUAAACGAUGAAUGCUAAGUGUUGGAGUAAAAUUCAGUGCUGCAGUUAACGCAAUAAGCAUUCCGCCUGGGGAGUACGCACGCAAGUGUGAAACUCAAAGGAAUUGACGGGACCCCGCACAAGCGGUGGAUUAUGUUGUUUAAUUCGACGCAACGCGAAGAACCUUACCAGGCCUUGACAUACCGGACAAAACCAUAGAGAUAUGGCGGAGGAUGAAGGAUACAGGUGGUGCAUGGUUGUCGUCAGCUCGUGUCGUGAGAUGUUGGGUUAAGUCCCGCAACGAGCGCAACCCUUGUCUUUAGUUACCAUCAUUCAGUUGGGGACUCUAGAGAGACUGCCGGUGAUAAACCGGAGGAAGGUGGGGAUGACGUCAAAUCAUCAUGCCCCUUAUGGCCUGGGCUACAAACGUAAUACAAUGGCGUAUACAAAGGGACGCGAAAGGGUGACCUGGAGCAAAACUCAUAAAGUACGUCUCAGUUCAGAUUGAAGUCUGCAACUCGACUUCAUGAAGCUGGAAUCGCUAGUAAUCGCGGAUCAGCAUGCCGCGGUGAAUACGUUCUCGGGGUUUGUACACACCGCCCGUCAAACCAUGAGAGUUGGUAAUACCCGAAGCCGGUGGCCUAACCGCAAGGAGGGAGCCGUCGAAGGUAGGACCGAUGAUUGGGGUUAAGUCGUAACAAGGUAACCA